Molecule: long non-coding RNA, 220 nt
Filed under: Elaeis guineensis (African oil palm)
Lineage: Eukaryota; Viridiplantae; Streptophyta; Magnoliopsida; Arecales; Arecaceae
Description: long non-coding RNA (EGUI_LNC056862)
Source: RNAcentral
UUUUGAUCAUCGGCUAUGGAGCUCUUCCACCUGCGAUAAGGUAUGCGAUCUGAUCUCAUAAAUCAAUUUUAAAUUUCAUAUGUCUUAGAUCCAUGUUAGGAAAGGUUUUAGAUCUGAUUUAAUAUAUGAUAAAAAUAGUUAAUCUAUUUUAUUCGAUUGUGAUUUUAAAACAGUUUUGAAAUACAUGCAUGUAAUCUGCCCUUCUUUUUUUUCUAACAGU